AGGACGAACGCUGGCGGCGUGCCUAACACAUGCAAGUCGCACGAGUCCACCUCGCAAGGGGUGAGGCGAGUGGCGGACGGGUGAGUAACACGUGAGCAAUCUGUCCCGGUGCGGGGGGACAACCCGGGGGAAACUCGGGCUAAUACCGCAUGGUCGGCCGGAACAGAAGUUCUGGUCGGGAAAGGUGGCCUCUUUACAAUGCUACCGUGCCGUGGAGGAGCUCGCGGGCUAUCAGCUAGUUGGUGCGGUGACGGCGCACCAAGGCAACGACGGCUACGGGGUCUGAGAGGACGACCCCGCACAUUGGAACUGAGACACGGUCCAGACUCCUACGGGAGGCAGCAGUGGGAAUUUUGGGCAAUGGCCGAAAGGCUGACCCAGCGACGCCGCGUGCGGGAGGAAGCCCUUCGGGGUGUAAACCGCUGUCAGAGGGACGAAAGAGGCGGGGGAAUAGUUCCGUUGCGAGUGACGGUACCGUACAAAGGAGCACCGGCUAACUCUAGUGCCAGCACGCCGACGGUAAUCGUAGA
RNAcentral lists this ribosomal RNA (530 nucleotides) under uncultured soil bacterium. RNAcentral describes it as "bacterial SSU rRNA". It matches the Rfam family "Bacterial small subunit ribosomal RNA", at positions 26 to 529 of the family's 1533-position model. The record is from RNAcentral.